UAAAAAGCUUCAAACUGGGAUUAGAUACCCCACUAUGCUCAGCCGUAAACUUAGACAUCCAACUACAAUUAGAUGUCCGCCAGGGUACUACGAGCAUUAGCUUAAAACCCAAAGGACCUGACGGUGUCUCAGAUCCCCCUAGAGGAGCCUGUUCUAGAACCGAUAACCCCCGUUUAACCUCACCACUUCUAGCCACCCCAGCCUAUAUACCGCCGUCGUCAGCUUACCCUGUGAAGGACAUAAAAGUAAGCAAAAUGGGUACAACCCAAAACGUCAGGUCGAGGUGUAGCGCAUGAAAUGGAAAGAAAUGGGCUACAUUUUCUACCACAGAAUAUUACGAACAUGUACCAUGAAAUAGUGCUUGAAGGAGGAUUUAGUAGUAAAAGGGAAAUAGAGUGUCCCUUUGAACCCGGCUCUGAGACGCGUACACACCGCCCGUCACCCUCUGCAGUCAA
This 455-nucleotide ribosomal RNA is filed under the name Sikukia gudgeri. RNAcentral describes it as "partial 12S ribosomal RNA". It matches the Rfam family "Bacterial small subunit ribosomal RNA", at positions 753 to 1414 of the family's 1533-position model. The record is from RNAcentral. Lineage: Eukaryota; Metazoa; Chordata; Actinopteri; Cypriniformes; Cyprinidae.